UACGGAGGGGGCUAGCGUUGUUCGGAAUUACUGGGCGUAUAGCGCACGUAGGCGGUUUUGUAAGUUAGAGGUGAAAGCCUGGGGCUCAACCCCAGAAUAGCCUUUAAGACUGCAUCACUUGAACGUCGGAGAGGUGAGUGGAAUUCCGAGUGUAGAGGUGAAAUUCGUAGAUAUUCGGAAGAACACCAGUGGCGAAGGCGGCUCACUGGACGACUGUUGACGCUGAGGUGCGAAAGCGUGGGGAGCAAACAGG
Molecule: ribosomal RNA, 253 nt
Filed under: uncultured bacterium
Lineage: Bacteria
Description: partial 16S ribosomal RNA
Rfam family: Bacterial small subunit ribosomal RNA
Source: RNAcentral